Long non-coding RNA from Oryzias melastigma (Indian medaka), 252 nucleotides. RefSeq lists it as uncharacterized. NCBI's taxonomy places the organism in Eukaryota, Metazoa, Chordata, Actinopteri, Beloniformes, Adrianichthyidae. The record is from RefSeq and is a predicted model, not a curated record. The transcript has 2 exons.
CAUAUUUUGAUCAAUUUUUUAUGACAAAUAUUUUUUUGUGUAAAAAAUACUCGGCAAAAGUGAUGGUGUAACUUUUUAUAGUGAAAGUGUUCUAUAGUUAAAUGAAAUCUUGAGCCCCUCAAAUUAUUUGCUACGCCCCUAUUUUCUGCACAUUUUUCUUUCUGUUUUUUGCCUUACGAUAGUAAUAUCACAUCUGCUUAAAAAAACUGCUGUAUUGACAAUAAUAACAAUAAUAAAUUUGUUUGACAUCCA